UGGGGAAUAUUGCACAAUGGAGGGAACUCUGAUGCAGCGACGCCGCGUGAACGAAGAAGGCUUUCGAGUCGUAAAGUUCUUUUAUAUGGGAGGAUAAUGACGGUACCAUAAGAAAAAGCCCCGGCUAACUACGUGCCAGCAGCCGCGGUAAUACGUAGGGGGCUAGCGUUGUCCGGAAUCACUGGGCGUAAAGGGUUCGCAGGCGGAAAUGCAAGUCAGGUGUAAAAGGCAGUAGCUUAACUACUGUAAGCAUUUGAAACUGCAUAUCUUGAGAAGAGUAGAGGUAAGUGGAAUUUUUAGUGUAGCGGUGAAAUGCGUAGAUAUUAAAAAGAAUACCGGUGGCGAAGGCGACUUACUGGGCUCAUUCUGACGCUGAGGAACGAAAGCGUGGGUAGCAAACAGG
RNAcentral lists this ribosomal RNA (403 nucleotides) under bacterium. RNAcentral's name for it is "partial 16S ribosomal RNA". It matches the Rfam family "Bacterial small subunit ribosomal RNA", at positions 355 to 776 of the family's 1533-position model. RNAcentral also lists the same sequence under 1 other name. The record is from RNAcentral.